UAUUGAGAGUUUGAUCCUGGCUCAGGACGAACGCUGGCGGCGUGCUUAACACAUGCAAGUCGAGGGGCAGCACAGGUAGCAAUACCGGGUGGCGACCGGCGCACGGGUGAGUAACGCGUAUGCAACUUACCUAUCAGAGGGGGAUAACCCGGCGAAAGUCGGACUAAUACCGCAUGAAGCAGGGGCCCCGCAUGGGGAUAUUUGCUAAAGAUUCAUCGCUGAUAGAUAGGCAUGCGUUCCAUUAGGCAGUUGGCGGGGUAACGGCCCACCAAACCGACGAUGGAUAGGGGUUCUGAGAGGAAGGUCCCCCACAUUGGUACUGAGACACGGACCAAACUCCUACGGGAGGCAGCAGUGAGGAAUAUUGGUCAAUGGGCGUAAGCCUGAACCAGCCAAGUCGCGUGAGGGAUGAAGGUUCUAUGGAUCGUAAACCUCUUUUAUAAGGGAAUAAAGCU
Molecule: ribosomal RNA, 455 nt
Filed under: Paraclostridium sordellii
Lineage: Bacteria; Bacillati; Bacillota; Clostridia; Peptostreptococcales; Peptostreptococcaceae
Description: bacterial SSU rRNA
Rfam family: Bacterial small subunit ribosomal RNA
Source: RNAcentral